GUACAUGUCACAUAUUAAGCUGUUUAUAACUGGGUAACACUGCCCUUUCUAGGGUGUAAUACAUUUGACAGGUGUAGCCAAGUUGUCACUGCUGAGCAAUUUGUCCCACUUUAUAGUCCACUGCACCUUCUAAUGACACAGUGGUUAAGGCAAUAAGCCGCAUAGCAUUAUAUAAACAGUGAAUAAAAAUCUGAGCACGGAUAUGUACAUGUGCUUGUAAAUGUCCUUAGGGUGAAGUUGACAAAACCCUAAUAACGUGAAUUCAGCCUACAGUUACUAUUUCAAACUGUUCAUACCAAAGUGACUUAAAUAAAGAGCACAACCGUAAACACCAUGAUCUAGGUUGUGGAGACCAGGGGCCAGCGAGGUCCGGGGUCUCUAUGGACGCCUCCAAGCCCGGAAAGUAUGUACAUCCAAGGCAGAGGGAGGAGGGAAGUCAGCACACCGGCGGACACUCAGCACCAUACCCUGACGGUGAGAAGGGCCAACAGCAAGUAUCAAGUAGGCCUACAUACAGAACAGACCAUUCAGGCCAACAUAAAGAACAUACCAUUCAGGCCUACAAACAGAACAUACCAUUCAGGCCUACAUACAGAACAGACCAUUCAGGCCUACAUACAGAACAGGUCAAUCAGGCCUAUAUACAGAACAAAC
Molecule: long non-coding RNA, 654 nt
Organism: Esox lucius (northern pike)
Lineage: Eukaryota; Metazoa; Chordata; Actinopteri; Esociformes; Esocidae
Source: Ensembl